RNAcentral lists this unclassified non-coding RNA (215 nucleotides) under Glomeraceae sp. RNAcentral's name for it is "partial contains 5.8S ribosomal RNA and internal transcribed spacer 2". The stretch from base 1 to 65 matches the Rfam family "5.8S ribosomal RNA", at positions 84 to 154 of the family's 154-position model. The record is from RNAcentral. Lineage: Eukaryota; Fungi; Glomeromycota; Glomeromycetes; Glomerales; Glomeraceae.
GUGAAUCAUCGAAUUUUUGAACGCAAAUUGCACUCCCUUCGGAGCGUAUGCCUGUUUGAGGGUCAGUAUCAAUAAAAAUCGGCGUGUUGCUUUUUUGUGCCGCCCCGGGGCUUGGGUCAUCUUAAUAUCUUUUAGGUUUUAAGAGGCUUAACAUUGAAUUUUUUUGCGCUUUUUAGAUGUACAUAAAUUCUUUUUUUAUUCGUCUGCCUUAAUGU